AAGUCGGGUGUGAAAUCCCUCGGCCCAACCGAGGAACUGCGCCCGAAACUGCAUGUCUUGAGGACAGGAGGGGAGCGCGGAAUUCCUGGUGGAGCGGUGAAAUGCGUUGAUAUCAGGAGGAACACCGGCGGCGAAGACGGCGCUCUGGCCUGUUUCUGACGCUGAGGUGCGAAAGCCAGGGGAGCAAACGGGAUUAGAUACCCCGGUAGUCCUGGCCGUAAACGAU
RNAcentral lists this ribosomal RNA (226 nucleotides) under uncultured bacterium. RNAcentral describes it as "partial 16S ribosomal RNA". It matches the Rfam family "Bacterial small subunit ribosomal RNA", at positions 585 to 810 of the family's 1533-position model. The record is from RNAcentral.